This 398-nucleotide ribosomal RNA is filed under the name uncultured bacterium. Its description in RNAcentral is "bacterial SSU rRNA". It matches the Rfam family "Bacterial small subunit ribosomal RNA", at positions 28 to 424 of the family's 1533-position model. The record is from RNAcentral.
GACGAACGCUGGCGGCGUGCUUAACACAUGCAAGUCGAACGGGGUUAAGGAGCUUGCUUCUUAACUUAGUGGCGAACGGGUGAGUAACGCGUGAGGAACCUGCCUUUCAGAGGGGGACAACAGUUGGAAACGACUGCUAAUACCGCAUGAAACCGUAGUACCGCAUGGUACAUCGGUCAAAGAUUUAUCGCUGAAAGAUGGCCUCGCGUCUGAUUAGCUAGUUGGUGGGUAACGGCCUACCAAGGCGACGAUCAGUAGCCGGUCUGAGAGGAUGAACGGCCACAUUGGGACUGAGAUACGGCCCAGACUCCUACGGGAGGCAGCAGUGGGGAAUAUUGGGCAAUGGGGGAAACCCUGACCCAGCAACGCCGCGUGAAGGAAGAAGGGCCCUUCGGGUU